CUGAGGCUUUGUAUUCCUCUCAGUUGCUUAUAAGUAACCCCUACUGACUCCAGUACUGUCCUAAUAUAACCUGAGUCACUGCAGCAUUUUCCAUAGCAGAGGCUUGGUCCUGUGCUCUCUUCAAGGGUAUCUACUUUCACAGAAUUAAGGUAUAGAGGAAGGGCUCUCAGCUGGCAUCAAGGCCCUGAGAGGUGGGUGAUUACAUCAACCAUUUCAGGAUGUGGUGGAACAAGCAGUAAGAUUGUGUUCCAUUAACUCAAGAAUGGAAACCACUGGAACUAGGACUGCUCUGAGUCUCCAUUUUCAGCUUCAUCACCAUCUCAGGCAGCCAUAUUUACGAUCUUGCUUUUGUUCUAUGUGAAAAAAUUCAGACAGUAGCUCAGAGUUGAGCAGGGACAUUUCAUAACCUUCCGUGCUUUGGCAGGGCGGGAAAACUCUUCCCACACUGGAUCUGUGUGGGACUGUUAUAUUUUCAACUGCAGUUCUAUUCAGCGUCCUGCCACAGCGUGAUGCCCGGUGUGAGGCAUUACAGCGGCACAGCAGGCCUCCUCACAGAGUGCCCUAUGGCCAGAGAGCGGGAGCUUACAACCAAAAUAACUGCAGAACAUCACAUAGAUUCUGCACGAACAGCUCCUUCUGACUUCUCUUCUACGUGCGGCAAAACGAUCAAGAAAAUAUCUAGGAUUAGUCCCGCGUUUUCAGGAAGGAGCCUUUUGCAAGAGGAGCUGUUUCUCUGCAGUGCUGCCACUAGAGGCACAGAAACCUCUGCAUUCAUGUAGGAUGACCACACAUAUGAUAUCACCAGGUAACUUGGUUCUGGGCAUUUAUACGCAAAGGAUGAGUCAGUCAAGUCUAAUGACCAAGCCACAGACAUUACCCCUGUUACAGGAAGGACUUUAUUCCUGCUGCAUGCAAUUUAUGGUAUAUUUUUUCAAUUUUCACUGU
This 945-nucleotide long non-coding RNA is filed under the name Numida meleagris (helmeted guineafowl). RNAcentral's name for it is "lncRNA (ENSNMEG00000017871.1)". Lineage: Eukaryota; Metazoa; Chordata; Aves; Galliformes; Numididae. The record is from RNAcentral.